GGUUAAGUUAAUAAGGGCGCACGGUGGAUGCCUUGGCACUAGGAGCCGACGAAGGACGUGACAAACGACGAUAUGCCUUGGGUAGCUGUAAGUAAGCGAUGAUCCAGGGAUUUCCGAAUGGGGGAACCCAACAGGUAAUACCUGUUACCUACAUCUGUUAAGGAUGUGAGGAGGAAGACGCAGUGAACUGAAACAUCUAAGUAGCUGCAGGAAGAGAAAGCAAAAGCGAUUGCCUUAGUAGCGGCGAGCGAAACGGCAGAAGGGCAAACCGAAGAGUUUACUCUUCGGGGUUGUAGGACUGCAAUGUGGACUCAAAGAUUAUAGAAGAAUGAUUUGGGAAGAUCAGCCAAAGAGAGUAAUAGCCUCGUAUUUAAAAUAGUCUUUGUACUUAGCAGUAUCCUGAGUACGGCGGGACACGUGAAAUCCCGUCGGAAUCUGGGAGGACCAUCUCCCAACCCUAAAUACUCCCUAGUGACCGAUAGUGAACCAGUACCGUGAGGGAA
This 503-nucleotide ribosomal RNA is filed under the name Streptococcus pneumoniae. RNAcentral's name for it is "partial 23S ribosomal RNA". It matches the Rfam family "Bacterial large subunit ribosomal RNA", at positions 1 to 511 of the family's 2925-position model. Lineage: Bacteria; Bacillati; Bacillota; Bacilli; Lactobacillales; Streptococcaceae. The record is from RNAcentral.